CACGUAGGCGGCCAUCUAAGUCAGAUGUGAAAGCCCGGAGCUCAACUCCGGAAGUGCAUUUGAUACUGGAUGGCUUGAGUAUGGGAGAGGGAAGUGGAAUUCCUGGUGUAGAGGUGAAAUUCGUAGAUAUCAGGAGGAACAUCGGUGGCGAAGGCGACUUCCUGGACCAAUACUGACGCUCAGGUGCGAAGGCGUGGGGAGCAAACA
Molecule: ribosomal RNA, 207 nt
Filed under: uncultured Desulfobacteraceae bacterium
Lineage: Bacteria; Pseudomonadati; Thermodesulfobacteriota; Desulfobacteria; Desulfobacterales; Desulfobacteraceae
Description: partial 16S ribosomal RNA
Rfam family: Bacterial small subunit ribosomal RNA
Source: RNAcentral